RNAcentral lists this ribosomal RNA (253 nucleotides) under uncultured bacterium. RNAcentral's name for it is "partial 16S ribosomal RNA". It matches the Rfam family "Bacterial small subunit ribosomal RNA", at positions 524 to 776 of the family's 1533-position model. The record is from RNAcentral.
UACGUAUGUGGCAAGCGUUGUCCGGAAUUAUUGGGCGUAAAGCGCGCGCAGGUGGUUUCUUAAGUCUGAUGUGAAAGCCCACGGCUCAACCGUGGAGGGUCAUUGGAAACUGGGGAACUUGAGUGCAGGAGAGAAGAGUGGAAUUCCACGUGUAGCGGUGAAAUGCGUAGAGAUGUGGAGGAACACCAGUGGCGAAGGCGACUCUUUGGCCUGUAACUGACACUGAGGCGCGAAAGCGUGGGGAGCAAACAGG